This 67-nucleotide transfer RNA is filed under the name Nebrioporus canaliculatus. RNAcentral's name for it is "tRNA-Trp". Lineage: Eukaryota; Metazoa; Arthropoda; Insecta; Coleoptera; Dytiscidae. The record is from RNAcentral.
AAGGAUUUAAGUUAAAAAAACUCAUAGCCUUCAAAGCUAUAAAUAAGGAUAAUUUCUUUAAGCCUUA